CAGUAGCCACGGUAAUACGAAGGGUGCAAGCGUUACUCGGAAUUACUGGGCGUAAAGCGUGCGUAGGAGGUGGUAUAAGUCCGUUGUGAAAGCCCUGGGCUCAACCUGGGAAUUGCAGUGGAUACUGGGUCACUAGAGUGUGGUAGAGGAUAGUGGAAUUUCCGGUGUAGCAGUGAAAUGCGUAGAGAUCGGAAGGAACAUCGGUGGCGAAGGCGACUAUCUGGGCCAACACUGACACUGAGGCACGAAAGCGUGGGGAGCAAACAGGAUUAGAUACCCCAGUAGUCCCUGUCUCUUAUAC
Molecule: ribosomal RNA, 301 nt
Filed under: uncultured bacterium
Lineage: Bacteria
Description: partial 16S ribosomal RNA
Rfam family: Bacterial small subunit ribosomal RNA
Source: RNAcentral